This is a long non-coding RNA of Myotis myotis, 1151 nucleotides long. RefSeq lists it as uncharacterized. The transcript is spliced from 2 exons. NCBI's taxonomy places the organism in Eukaryota, Metazoa, Chordata, Mammalia, Chiroptera, Vespertilionidae. The record is from RefSeq and is a predicted model, not a curated record.
UGCCUCGCCGUUUUGUGGGUGGAGGCUGGGAGCCAGACCCGGGUCUAUAAUAAUAAAAGACUCUUUGCUUUUGCAUUGGACACGGCUGGCUCCCUGGUGUGGUCUAUUGGGGAUCUUGAAAUCUGGGCAUAACAUUUGGGGGCUCAUCCGGGAUCCCCAAGACCCUCGAGGGACCCCCAUCAGGAGAGUCUGACUGACCGCGAGGGCUCCAGAGGGCGCACGAGGACAUUUGGCAGCACCUCCAUGCCAUCUACGAGACCGGCCCAACCCCAACUCCUCAUCAGCACAGACCAGGAGAUCGGGUCUACGUCAGAAGGCACCGCCGGGAGACCCUAGAGCCACGUUGGAAGGGUCCCUACACUGUGGUGCUGACAACCCCCACCACUCUCAAGGUAGACGGUGUCGCCACCUGGGUCCAUCACACUCAUGUCUGGUCAGCAGUCCCAUCCGUGCAAUCAAAGCAACCCACUCAAGCUCAAGCUAUGGCGUGCUCGACCUGCCUGAUUCUGGUAACAUUGCUCGCGAUCACUCCUGCCACCUGGAGCCCCCACAAUACUGUGUAAUAGACUUAGAUAAUGCCUGCAUCUUCAUGGACAUGGCUCCAAGGAGACAAGGACAAUUUAUAGGAUCACAUGUUUAGUAGCAGAAGAUUUGGCUGCCUGAAGCGGCCAUGAUGCCAAUAUUAUGUUUCAUUGUAUUGAUAUGUUGUAUUAACCUUCAAUUCUCUUACAGGUUUAAAUGUAGCUGUAGCUGUGGACCAGUGAUGGUCUACAGUCCUUAGUAGUCUUUGGAAAUAACUGGCAAGUGUCCAGUCUCCCACACUGAGGGAUAUUGUUAUAGCUAUGUAUGUUGGCUAUCCUGGAAGGGGACUGUGUGGGGUGAACCCCAAAAGUAAAGGGUGUCUAGCUGCCAAGAGGGCAGGUGCCCAACUGGGCAGGGAAGGGUGCCCAUCAGGUUUUGGUCACUGUUGAGAGACAGUUGGCAGUUGGCAGCCUGUGUACUGCUUGCAGGUCUGCGUGACCAUGCCCAUGUCAGGGGUAGUAAGCUGGAAAAGGCCUGUUUAGAAUAGAAGGUCUGUAUGUAUAUUACAUAUGAUUAAAACAGACCUUGCCCUGAAAAAAAAAAAAAAAAAAAAAAAAAAGAAUAGAAGG